GCCCGACACCCCCUCUUUCCCUUUCCCUCUUUCCCUUCCCUUCUCCUUCUUCCUCGAUACCGGCAGCAGCAAGACCUUCACCAUUUCCUUCUUCUUCCUUCUGAAUUUCGAGUGCCACAAGUGAGAUUCAUCACCUUCUCUUUGAUUCAAACGGGUUCUUUUCCUUCCCCUUCUUUUCGGUACAGUUGAGUACGGCAGCGGGGCAUCGGACCCGACCUUCAUCGAACUAGGAACAAGCUAAGGAGACGACGUCAUCGAGGAACCUUUCUAGUGAUCGCGGAGAAACGGUCUACGCUUCUUGAAGCGUCAUUGUUGUUACAGAUCGGAUUCAGACGGGAACGAUGGGUUAGCGGUGUUGAUUAGAAUUCCAAGGAUGUCAUAUUGAGCUGAGCAUGUGGGAAUUUUGUAGUUUUGUAUUAGAUUUUGGAUAAAUGUAUAUUAGACUUGGUUAUAUUGGUUGUAGUGGACUUAAAGUGAAUUGUAUGAUUACCUUGUGUUUUAGUUAGAUGUUUGAUUUGAAAAUUAGCUGAGUUAGUUACGUUAAA
Amaranthus tricolor (Joseph's coat) is the source of this 545-nucleotide long non-coding RNA. RefSeq lists it as uncharacterized. The transcript is spliced from 3 exons. Lineage: Eukaryota; Viridiplantae; Streptophyta; Magnoliopsida; Caryophyllales; Amaranthaceae. The record is from RefSeq and is a predicted model, not a curated record.